RNAcentral lists this ribosomal RNA (253 nucleotides) under uncultured bacterium. Its description in RNAcentral is "partial 16S ribosomal RNA". It matches the Rfam family "Bacterial small subunit ribosomal RNA", at positions 524 to 776 of the family's 1533-position model. The record is from RNAcentral.
UACGGAGGGUGCAAGCGUUACCCGGAAUCACUGGGCGUAAAGGGCGUGUAGGUGGCCGUACAAGUCCGGCUUUAAAGACCGAGGCUCAACCUCGGGAAUGGGCUGGAGACUGUAGGGCUAGAGGUCUGAAGAGGUAAGCGGAAUUUCGGGUGUAGCGGUGGAAUGCGUAGAUACCCGAAGGAACACCAAUGGCGAAGGCAGCUUACUGGGCAGAACCUGACACUGAGGCGCGAAAGUGUGGGGAGCAAACCGG